UCAUUAUUGAAAAUUACUGGUGAGGGUUGUAGCUGGCCUUCCGGGGCAAUGUGCACGCCCGAGCCUUUAAUCCACACACACCUGUGAACUCACUGUAAGGGCCCGUAAAAAGGCCCCUACGUAUCAUCACCGACGCAUGUAUAACAGAAUGUAAAUCAAUGUCCUCGCCUUGAAAAAGCGUUGAUAAACUUAAUACAACUUUCAACAACGGAUCUCUUGGCUCUCGCAUCGAUGAAGAACGCAGCGAAAUGCGAUAAGUAAUGUGAAUUGCAGAUUUUCAGUGAAUCAUCGAAUCUUUGAACGCACCUUGCGCUCCUUGGUAUUCCGAGGAGCAUGCCUGUUUGAGUGUCAUUAAAUUCUCAACCACCGGAUGUUUCGACGUCUGGUUGGCUUGGACUUGGAGUGUGCUGGCGAAAGUCGGCUCCUCUCAAAUGCAUCAGCGGAAUUCAACCUUUGGCUUCCGGACAUCAGUGUGAUAAACAACGUUGCGCUGUCGUCUGAAAUCAGAGAGUCCGCUUCGUAAUGGUCUUUCGGACAAACAUUGACAAUCAGAUUUGACCUC
RNAcentral lists this ribosomal RNA (562 nucleotides) under uncultured fungus from ectomycorrhizal root. RNAcentral's name for it is "eukaryotic LSU rRNA". The stretch from base 197 to 351 matches the Rfam family "5.8S ribosomal RNA". Lineage: Eukaryota; Fungi. The record is from RNAcentral.